Notolabrus celidotus (New Zealand spotty) is the source of this 936-nucleotide long non-coding RNA. RefSeq lists it as uncharacterized. The transcript has 3 exons. The record is from RefSeq and is a predicted model, not a curated record. Lineage: Eukaryota; Metazoa; Chordata; Actinopteri; Labriformes; Labridae.
GGGAGAGCCAAUGGGAAAACAUAACUUCUUCCACUGAGAGGACAAGUUGAAUCAAGGUGAAAAGCAUGCAGCAGCUGAAGUCCUGAGUACACCCAAAGAGCAGCCUGAAUUGAUAAUGAUAAAGGAAGAGCCACAAGAGCUGGACAAUCAAGACAGGGAACACACGAAAACAUGUGAGAACAGAUGGGAAGCACUUAUACAAACUCAGAGGACUCCAGAUGAGAUGCAUCCUCCAAACCUGUUGCAGAACAGCAGCAGCCACUGUUGUCUUGCUAUGUGAAUCUGGGUACCCAGCCCUCCGUCCUGGAACAGGAAGAAGGGAGACACAGUGGAAUCCACAGCUUACACCUGCACACACAAACUUAGAGGCUGGAAAAAAUUUACCUCAAAAUGUACUUCUCAAAGGCGCAGGUGUUCUCAGGAAUAUGAAACUUCACAACUUGAGAAACUCAGCUGCCAAAAGAUUUGGCUGUUUGCAGUGUGGCAAAGGUUUCAGGUGCUUUAGCCAGCUUGAAAUACAUCAGAGAAGUCACACAGGAGAGAAACCGUUCAGGUGCACACUGUGUGGAAAGAGAUAUGCACAAAAAGGGCAUCUGUAUACACACCAGCGCACACACACUGGGGAGAAGCCAUACUGCUGUCCUAUUUGUGGAAAAGGCUUUAUUCAGAAAUGCACUCUUGAUAUGCAUCAGCGCCACACACUGGAGAGAAACCUUUUGUUUGUAUCAAUGUGGCAAGGGUUUUACGAAGAACUGUAACCUGAAAAAACACCUUGCUGUGCAUCUAGAUCCCAGUCUGAAUAUGUUUGGUAGUGAAUGUAGUGCACCUGCAUUUAGUGCGACAUUCAUAAAUGGAACAACUUAAACACUGCCAGUUUGAACUUCUGCUUUUGUUUGGUUGGAAUAUUUAUGAAUAAUAAAGUUAUCUUUUGCUCCA